Molecule: ribosomal RNA, 378 nt
Filed under: Triticum aestivum (bread wheat)
Lineage: Eukaryota; Viridiplantae; Streptophyta; Magnoliopsida; Poales; Poaceae
Description: partial small subunit ribosomal RNA
Source: RNAcentral
UACACCUCGAAAUCUGCCUACCUCAUUCAGUUUGAGGGAUGCCGCAGGGCCGGAUUUGGUGACUUCGUCUGGAAAGCCGACGCACCUGGCAAGUGCAAGAUCUUUGCAUGGCUAGCCCUCCUCGGACGCUGCAACACGGCCGACGUACUAGCAAAGAAGGGAUGGCCACACGACCCAGCUUGCGCUCUUUGCGCCGGCCCCAUGGAAAACGCAGUGCACCUCCUCGCCUCGUGCCCCUACACGAUCACUGUAUGGCAGGUGAUCCUGCGACGGAGCAAUCUACCUGCGGCCCUGUCUCCCACAACAACCACUGCAUCACUGACUGAAUGGACAGAACACACCACAAGUCAGCUUUCAGGUGACGAGAAGAAACAAUGG